AUGCUCCUUCCAGUCCACGCUCCGACAAGGAACGGCACGGCUCCCCUGUCUAUCUGGUCAGCCAAGUUCAGUGCCGGGGUUGCCGCCGCAGCCUUCCUUGUGCUCCUGCUCGGGGUCGCCGUCGCGGUGCUGCUCCGGCGUGCAAGCACGAGAAACAGGCAGCCAGACGACAAAGACAUGCUCGCCGGCGACAUGACUCCGGACUCCCUCGACAUGGACGACGACGAGUUCGGUUCCAGCGCGGGGCCCCGGCCCAUCCCGUACGCUAACCUGGCGGCGGCGACGAGGAACUUCGCGGAGGAAGGGAAGCUGGGGCAGGGCGGGUCCGGGUCGGUGUACCGGGGCCACAUGAAAGAGCUCGGCGGCCGCGAUGUCGCCAUCAAGGUAUUCUCUCGGGGGGCGUCCUCGGAGGGGAGGAAGGAGUACAGGUCGGAGGUCACCAUCAUCAGCAGGCUGCGCCACCGGAAUCUUGUGCAGCUCAUCGGCUGGUGCCAUUGCCGCCGGCGGCUGCUGCUGGUCUACGAGCUCGUGCACAACGGCAGCCUCGAUGGCUACCUCUACGGCAAACAAGAGGUUCUGACAUGGCAAGUUAGAUAUACCAGAUAA
This 606-nucleotide ribosomal RNA is filed under the name Triticum aestivum (bread wheat). RNAcentral's name for it is "partial small subunit ribosomal RNA". Lineage: Eukaryota; Viridiplantae; Streptophyta; Magnoliopsida; Poales; Poaceae. The record is from RNAcentral.